UGGCUGUCGUCAGCUCGUGUCGUGAGAUGUUGGGUUAAGUCCCGUAACGAGCGCAACCCUUGUCCUUAGUUACCAGCACGUUAUGUGGGCACUCUAAGGAGACUGCCGGUGACAAACCGGAGGAAGGUGGGGAUGACGUCAAGUCAUCAUGGCCCUUACGGCCUGGGCUACACACGUGCUACAAUGGUCGGUACAAAGGGUUGCCAAGCCGCGAGGUGGAGCUAAUCCCAUAAAACCGAUCGUAGUCCGGAUCGCAGUCUGCAACUCGACUGCGUGAAGUCGGAAUCGCUAGUAAUCGUGAAUCAGAAUGUCACGGUGAAUACGUUCCCGGGCCUU
Molecule: ribosomal RNA, 336 nt
Filed under: uncultured Pseudomonas sp.
Lineage: Bacteria; Pseudomonadati; Pseudomonadota; Gammaproteobacteria; Pseudomonadales; Pseudomonadaceae
Description: bacterial SSU rRNA
Rfam family: Bacterial small subunit ribosomal RNA
Source: RNAcentral